RNA transcript from Cryptomeria japonica (Japanese cedar), 4985 nucleotides. It is a transcript of the gene named WPP domain-associated protein, with no coding region annotated. Lineage: Eukaryota; Viridiplantae; Streptophyta; Pinopsida; Cupressales; Cupressaceae. The record is from RefSeq and is a predicted model, not a curated record. The transcript is spliced from 7 exons.
GGAGAGUUUUUUCUUCCUUUUUAGCCGUUCAGAAUUUUUAAAGCUUUCCACCCGCGAUUUCAUUUUCCCUCCACAUCAACAUGGGGCCAGAUGCACAGGUCUCCGUGUAUCUCAGUAACUCUCGGAAGCAUUAAUUAUAAGUAAAGACGCUCCAUUUUUAUUAUUAUUGUAAAACUGGUGGGACUUCACAAAAUCAUUCCAUGUGCUCUUUCCAACUAACAAGCCAAGAAAGAGAAAAGCAAAGACCGCAGACGAAGGAAAAAAAGAUUCCGAGCAACAACAACACAAGGUGCAAAUCCCAGCGCCCACGAGUUUCGAUCCUGGGACCUGUUGUCUUUCUGAUAGGUACUACCGGAGUAACAAAACUUGAGGAGUGAGCACUAGUGUACAGGAAAUUGAACUUGUCUGGUGAUUUAGGCUUCGGCAGGGAAUUUUGAAGGGCUGCAAGGCCAUAUACUGGUACUCUAUUGAAAGUUGAGCCCUUUCGACUGACAUAUAUGUUAUGUUAAAUACUUGACCACAUGAGGUUUUGUAAUGGUAGUUUUGUGCUCUUAUCAUUUUAAUUUUAAAUAUUAGCAUGAAGGAUCUAGUAUUUGGAUAUGCCGUCCUUUUCUGAAUUAGUAGAUUUUGGGAGCAGGCAUUUUUCCCAAUUGGAUAUUAUUCCAGUAUACUUGUUAACUGCGAUCAACUUUAUUUUGAAUGGAAACCCAUAAUUUUGGCAAGGCUGAGUAUGACGCUUCUUCUAUGAACAAGAGCUCAGAAGCUGACACUUUGAAAAAUUCAGAAGCAGUUGGAAUAAAUAAUGGGAAUGGAGAUGAAACUUUGGAUCUUGGAUCCACUCAAGAUGACCCAGAUUAUGUUGUUGGCAUUCUCGCUCAGUUUGAACAGACCCAAGAUUUUCUUGAGGAUCUGGAAUGCAGGUUAUCAGUGUCAGCCAUGGUUUCAGAUGCUGUCACAAAUGGGGUUGCGAAUGCCCUCAUGGAGGAAACAUCUGAGGCCCUUACUGCAAAGGAAGCUGAAAUAGUUGCAUUAAACGAUAAAUUGGAAGAUAAAGAUAUUAAACUAUGGAACCUGACAGAAAAACUACGACAAAAGGAGCAGGAGCUGGCGAUGCUCCUUGCCGAGAACAACUCUGACCGUGGAAGGCUGGUGUCAGACUUUAUGUAUGAUAAAGAACGUCUGAAGCGUAAGUUGAGUGAAGCUGAAACACAUUGUAUAGAAAAAGAGAAACAGUUGGCAGAAAAAACUGAGGCCAUGAUGAAGAUGACAUCAGAGUUGGAGGCUGACAGGAACAGAAUCAUUGUUAUGGAAGAGCAAAUAAAGAACUUGCAUGAAGAGGAGUUGGAAAACGAAAGAAAUUCCCUUGAUUUGGUUGAGCAACUUGAGAGAUUGAAAUCACAAUACGUUACUGGAAAAGGGUCAAUUAUGGAAGAGGAUGUACAGAAUCUUACAUCAAAAUGUGGAGGACAACUAGUAGCAAAAGAAGAAUGCGAAGCACAGAUGCUUAGGCAUGAAAUUGAAAGAUCUGUCUGUGAAAGCAUAUAUGAAGGACAGCUGCUAGAGCUACAGGACAAACUUGAAACAGACAGGUUGUGGUCUAGGUCUACGAUUGCUACUAUGGAAAAGGAAAUGAAGAAGGUUAAGGAGUUAUCUGAAACUAAGUUGAUGAACAAGGGAUUUGAAGUUAUGAUUCUUGCUGAACAGUUGAAGGAAAUUGAGGUUGCUAAUGCAUUGCAAACUUCCGUUAUUGUUGGUGUACUGGAUUCAUCAAUUCAGGAAUUACAAAAUCAGAUUUCGAAGAACAUUCAGGACUUGGGUACACGUGACGAACAGAUAAAUUCUUUGACUUCUAUACUUAAUUGUCUAAAGCAGGAGUGUGAAAGUCUGAAAGCCCAAAUAUCCAGCAAUCAUGUGAUUGAUGCAGAGAUUGAAAACAAUCUGAGCACCUUAAAGGUAACAAUGGAAAAUCAAUGUACUAGAUUGAAGCAAGAUGUCGAGGAAGAAAGAGCACGAGUAAGAGAUGAUUUGUCAAGGAUAACAAAACUUCAGAAGCUCAACAAUAGUCUGGCUAAAAGAUUAAGGGAACAGCAGAUAAGCUUAGAGCAGGUGGAGGAGAAACUGGCAGAACAUGAAUGGCAACAAUCAAUUGUGUGCCUUUUUACAGAAGAAGUUUAUGGGAGCAAACUGAAUGAAGCUGUGCAACUCAUUACAAACCUUAAUUCAGAGUUGGAAAAGAAAGAUUCAGAAGUAGCUUCUCACAUGGAAAAAGCUGCUGCUCUGCAGGUGGCAUUAAAUGCUGAGAAGUCAGAGGUUCUGAGUUUACAAAGAAGGUUGAAAGGUUUUGAAUUUGAGAUUGACAGUUUGAAUAGCAUCGACUUUCAGAAGGUGGAUUCAGCAUUUGAAAAUAUUGAUUGCAGAUUCUUGAAAAUGUCUUUAAGACUGGAUGGCUUUGAAAAGAAUUCGAAAACCUGCUUUGAAAAUAUCCAAUCUCAUGUUGCCGAAUUUCUGGAGAAGCAAUGGAAGCAGAAUUUUGAAGAGCAUAUCAAUGGACUUGUGCUAAGGGAAUUCCUUGAAGGCCUUGAAGAGCAGCUCAAAGCAAAAGAGCUGGAGGAAAGAAAGUUCUGGGCAAUGCAAAUCAGAUUGGAUAAAGGAAGGGAGGCAUUGAUAAAUGAGGUUAAAUCUCUACGUCAAGAGUUAGAGCAGUUGAAAUUUGAUGAGCCAGGGAAAUCUACCUUCACUGCUGAUGGUAACAAUUCAAAUGGAUUUCAAACUUUCUCCCAACUUAAAAAGGAAGUGCAAAAUGGAGAAGCAAAUGAUGGUCACAGGAAGGAUUGGACUCCGAGGAGGUUUUCUACAGGUCAGAUUUCUACUGAUAUGUCAAAAUUGGAUGAUGGCUGUGGGAUUGCUGUGACAGGAAAGGUUGGAGAAGCUCAAUUGACAAAGGAACUUGAUCUAUCUGUGCAUACUUCACUUGAGUUUGCAGACACUCCAGACUCUCCAUUAAAAAUCCUUUCUAGAGAGCAACUCAUAGAACAUUUCAAACGAGUACUGGCUGAGCGAACAAGGAAAACAGAAUGCAUAUUGGAAGAAAAAACAGAAGAGAUCUACAAGCUUAAGAGGGACUUGAUGAGAGGGAAAGAUGGCACUUAUCUGAAAAAAGAUAAGGAGUUGAAUGCUUUGAAGAAAAGGAUUACCGAGAUUACAAGGAAAUUGGACAAUAUUGUUGAGGAGAACAAUAAGCUAUCUUCCUGUGUGGUUGAGGUUCAGGAUCAGAACUAUGAUUUAGUUUGCAAGCUCAAGGAUGAAAUGAAGGCCGAGAGGAGACAUUUGCUUGAGAAGCUUAGGCAAAAGGAAAACGAACUGAAAGCACUGUCUGAUAAACUAUUAGAUGCCUUGAGAAAAGAGAAAGAUUGCUUGGUUAGAGAAUCUGACUUAUUGAAACGCAUUGCAGACUUGGAGUCAGAAACGGAAAUGGUAGACAUGAUGCACCUGUAUGAAGCUGACAUAGUAAAUACAAUCUUUAAAGAGACAAUUAAUGAGAAAAAAAAUGCCUUGAAUUUGAUACUGAAGGAAAAUGAUGAGAAAACAGAGCUUAAGAAACAAAUUGUUUUGUUGGAGGAAGUGAUCAAAGAGAAGGAUGAUACUUUAGGUUUAGCAUCUUCACAGUUAGAGGAAAUAGAACAAUUUGAAAAACAGAAAAGCUCUUUAGAUUUGGCACUGAAAGAUUGUGAAGAGUUUAGGAAGCAAGUAUUAUCUUUGAAGGAAUGCAUAGAAGAAAAAGAUAAUAAAUUGAAAACUUUAUUUAGGGAGUUAGAACAAGUUAGGAAUGAAAAAAUCACACUGGAGGGAAUUGUCCAAGACAAGGAAAAUAUGAUAAAGACAGAACAAUACCAAACGAAGCAAUUUUUAGCCGCCACUGCAGAGAAAGAGAAUGCUUGGACUUUGGCUGCAAAAAAUACCAAAAUACAUGAAGAAAUGAUUACUUCCCUACAACAAACUCUAAGACACAAGGAGUUAUGCCUACAGUCAACUAUAAAGGAUAAAGAAGAAGCUGAAGAACAGAAAUAUCUCUUACAGGAAGAGGUACAGAAAGUCAUGAGUACUCUCAAGCGCAUGCAAAUACAAACAGAAGCAGCUCAGAAGCAGUAUAAAAAAGAACUCAAAGAUUUUGUUUGCAAAAGCAUGGAUGCUUCUUUACAGUUGGAACAGAGGGUUCUGAAAAGGAUUGCAGAGAAUAUGUUUAGGUUGGAACGGAGUAAGCAACAUAUGGAGAAGUUAAAGGGUGAAGCCAAUUCAUUUGUGCUGGGAAGCUCAUACUACAAAGACAAGCUUGAAAAGAAAUGCCUCAAUCUUCAAAAAGCUGAAGAAGAGGUUGAUGCGUUAGGAGAUGAAGUGGAUACUCUUCUAAGUCUCCUUGAGAAGGUUUAUGUUGCCCUCGAUCAUUAUUUACCAGUAUUGCAGCAUUAUCCUGGGAUUGAUGAUCUUGUAAAACUGAUAAAAAAAGAGCUGAUAGAUCAUGCUGAUAAUGGACUUUAGAGAUGCAUUUGAAUAUAAGACAUUUUGCAGGAGGAUAACUUGUUCAUAGAGACUGUAUUCUAUUCACAGAGACGCAGCAUUCUUUCAUCAGAUUUGCAUAUUCUUCUUCAAUAACAUAAGCUUAAGCACAGAUUCAUGAUUGUAUGAUGUUUGCUGAGAAAGGAGUAGUCGAUGUUCGUCUUCAAAGGAGGCUAUGUGAGAUUCAGAAAUUGUAUUCUAAGCACUUUUGCAAUGCUGGUAGAGCCUUACUGUAUGUAAAAUUAAUAAAAUUUGAUGUCAUAUUUUUUGCUUAGGCAUGAGUUGUACAUAUGCAGAGGUCUGAUUAGUUCCGAUUGUACUAUUGCCCUAUAAUGUGUAUAAAUAUAUAUUCCAGUUCCGAAUUAUAUGUUUAUCUCCAUAAGGUUCAACACUAUCAAAGUUGCAUGCUUAAGUCAUGUUCUUUUUGACUA